This 717-nucleotide ribosomal RNA is filed under the name Lactifluus dunensis. Its description in RNAcentral is "partial large subunit ribosomal RNA". It matches the Rfam family "Eukaryotic large subunit ribosomal RNA", at positions 168 to 856 of the family's 3401-position model. The record is from RNAcentral. Lineage: Eukaryota; Fungi; Basidiomycota; Agaricomycetes; Russulales; Russulaceae.
CACCGGACCAUGCACAAGUCUCCUGGAACGGAGCGUCAUAGAGGGUGAGAAUCCCGUCUUUGGCAUGGGAUCCCCCGGGGCUUUUGUGAUGCGCUCUCGAAGAGUCGAGUUGUUUGGGAAUGCAGCUCAAAAUGGGUGGUGAACUCCAUCUAAAGCUAAACAUUGGCGAGAGACCGAUAGCGAACAAGUACCGUGAGGGAAAGAUGAAAAGCACUUUGGAAAGAGAGUGAAACAGUACGUGAAAUUGUUGAAAGGGAAACGCUUGGAGUCAGUCACGUCGACCGAGACUCAGCCUUGCCCCUUUGGGCUUGGUGUACUUCUCGGCCAACGGGCCAGCAUCGAUUUUGUCCCUCAGAUAAUGGCAAGGGAAAGGUGGCACCCUUAUGGGUGUGUUAUAGUCCCCUGUCGCAUGUGAGGGAUGGGAUUGAGGAACUCAGCACGCGCCUCUCGGCGUUCGGGGCUUUGGCCCACGCUUACGUGCUUAGGAUGUUGGCAUAAUGGCUCCAAACGACCCGUCUUGAAACACGGACCAAGGAGUCUAACAUGCCUGCGAGUGUUCGGGUGGAAAACCCGUGUGCGAAACGAAAGUGAAAGUCGGGACCUCUGUCGUGGAGGGCACCGACGCCCGGACCAGACCUUCUGUGACGGAUCUGCGGUAGAGCAUGCAUGUUGGGACCCGAAAGAUGGUGAACUAUGCCUGAAUAGGGUGAAGCCAGA